RNAcentral lists this ribosomal RNA (433 nucleotides) under uncultured bacterium. RNAcentral's name for it is "partial 16S ribosomal RNA". It matches the Rfam family "Bacterial small subunit ribosomal RNA", at positions 29 to 507 of the family's 1533-position model. The record is from RNAcentral.
AACGAACGCUGGCGGCAUGCCUAACACAUGCAAGUCGAACGAGACCUUCGGGUCUAGUGGCGCACGGGUGCGUAACGCGUGGGAACCUGCCCUUAGGUUCGGAAUAACUCCCCGAAAGGGGUGCUAAUACCGGAUAAUGUCUUCGGACCAAAGAUUUAUCGCCUUUGGAUGGGCCCGCGUUGGAUUAGCUAGUUGGUAGGGUAAAAGCCUACCAAGGCGACGAUCCAUAGCUGGUCUGAGAGGAUGAUCAGCCACACUGGGACUGAGACACGGCCCAGACUCCUACGGGAGGCAGCAGUGGGGAAUAUUGGACAAUGGGCGAAAGCCUGAUACAGCAAUGCCGCGUGAGCGAUGAAGGCCUUAGGGUUGUAAAGCUCUUUUACCCGGGAUGAUAAUGACAGUACCGGGAGAAUAAGCGCCGGCUAACUCCGUG